This 71-nucleotide transfer RNA is filed under the name Candidatus Parcubacteria bacterium. RNAcentral's name for it is "tRNA-Trp". It matches the Rfam family "tRNA". From Rfam's summary of the family: Transfer RNA (tRNA) molecules are approximately 80 nucleotides in length. Their secondary structure includes four short double-helical elements and three loops (D, anti-codon, and T loops). The record is from RNAcentral. Lineage: Bacteria; Candidatus Parcubacteria.
GGGCCCAUAGGCUAAUGGUAAACUGCUUCUCUCCAAAAGAAGAUUUCGAGGUUCGACUCCUCGUGGGCCCG